CGGCUGGCCUGAGACGCAGGCUGUCCCUUUUCCACAUGUGGCAGCUAAUUGUAGGGAUUUGUGAGUGAGAUUGAACAUCGGAAAAUGUUCAGAACUGAGUCGAGUGGAAGCUGCGUGUGCCUGGAUCCCGAAGAAGCAGUCUUGGGAAUGGUUCGGGAGAAGGCAGGCAGAUCGUCGCUCUAACGCCUACCUUCUAACAUGCUGCCCCACACAUUGGAUCUGGGGCGAGGAUAUCACCUCAGUUUGAGGAAUCGUCCAGGAAGAGGCAAACAUCUGAAUCCUGAUUCCUCGCAAGCGACCUCGCGACCCAAGUAUCUGCAAUGCACAAGUGGCUCUUCAGUGCUUUCGCAAAACUCCGUCGUCUGACUUCUCAGCGGAGGGCCAGCAUGUCUCCAUCGCCUGCGUGUUACGGCAGCUACCUCGACAUAUCUCCAUCAUGUUUACAAUGCCCGAAUGUCUCUCAAAAUACUCUCGGAAUUUCCAAAGAAUUGAGAUGCUUUUUACAGUUUCAUGCUCUGUGUUCUGAAGUUAUUGCUACCGCUUCAGAGCAUGGACAUGUUUUAUGUUAGUGAAUGCAGGUCUUGGUACCAGUUAGUUCAAAGGAAGUUUAAUGGUAUUCUUGUGUAUCAUGAGUCCAAAUAUUUAAAGACAGCACACUUAUGGGCACCUAAAUUUUCUGUUAAAAAGGCUUAUUAUGUAUCAGUCGAUGUCCUCUGAAUAUCCGCCCUUGUCUUCUGCACAGUGCCACAGUAAUUCAUUAUUCAUACAUUUAAACCAUUCAAAACGCCCACGUGAUCUCGCCCACUCCGACAGAACUUGCUUGCUUAAAUGAUGAUCACCAGUUCCUUAGUCAUUACAUCAAAUCCGAAGACCUCUUCAAGUAAAAAAUGAAGUGGAUGUUUGUUACAACCACUUCGCAGACCAGGGAGUUGAAUUCAGAGGUGGAUGUUUGUUACAACCACCUCAACGCGAGCUGGAUUCCCGAGUGGAUGCGUGUUGCAGUCGCCUCUAUGUGAGCUGAAUUUUGAGGUGGCUGUGUACUACAGCAACUUCAGGGACCGGUGAGCUGAAUUCUGAAGUGGAUGUUUGUUACAACCACUUCGCAAACUCCUUGGGCUGAGCUUUGAAGAGGAUGUUUGUGUCACCCGCUUUAAAAGCCCUUUGAGGGGAAUUCUGACGGAUAAUUUCAACAACCGAUUCAGAGAAUAUUCACAGGAAGAGAUUUUGAGCGCUAAAUUUGAAAAUGGUUAUUUGUUACCAGCAUUUGUUCGCUACUACCUUACUUGAUUCUGUAGUGAAUACCUACUAUAACCAUUUUGAAACGCCAACCUCCCCCCCCCCCCCAGCCUCCAAUUCACACACCCCUUCGGUGAAAUAGUGAAUGAAUGUUAUUACAGCCUCAUCCUAUUCCCCCAGGCCCGAGAGCCACGGAAUGGGUGAAAUAUAUUAGAAACACCUCAUCAAGUUCCUCCUCCCUCUUCUUGUCCCAGGAUGUUGAAAUGGAUCUUUAUCACUCCUUUUCCUCUUCCCUCCUUCCGCACAUCGACUUGGGGAGAUCAAUUCGAAACAUCCUUUCAGCGUCUCACUUUCUCUCCGUGUCUCAGAACUGGAGAAUGAUUGUUUAUGACUAGUAAUUUUCCUUCUCGUUUGUUCUCGUCGAGGACACUCUGCUUAUGGACUCUUUAUGAUGAUACUUUCACACUCGGCCACACACUUGUCGGCGAUAAGAAUCGGCUCAUCCUUUUUUUUUUGAAGAUUUAUUUAGAUUUCUGUCAACUUUCAUUGCUGUUUGAUAUCCAUUCCUGGCAAAAUAAAAACUUUAAAUGAC
Molecule: non-coding RNA, 1828 nt
Organism: Penaeus vannamei (Pacific white shrimp)
Lineage: Eukaryota; Metazoa; Arthropoda; Malacostraca; Decapoda; Penaeidae
Source: RefSeq, a predicted model, not a curated record